GCAGGGAGCCCCAUACAGGAGUCAAUUCCAGGACCCUGGGAUCACGACCUGAGCCAAAAGCACCUGCUUCACCGAAUGACCCACCCAGGCAGCCCUAGGAUCCAUGUU
Mustela erminea (ermine) is the source of this 108-nucleotide long non-coding RNA. RefSeq lists it as uncharacterized. The record is from RefSeq and is a predicted model, not a curated record. NCBI's taxonomy places the organism in Eukaryota, Metazoa, Chordata, Mammalia, Carnivora, Mustelidae. The transcript has 3 exons.